Molecule: ribosomal RNA, 461 nt
Filed under: uncultured Methanolinea sp.
Lineage: Archaea; Methanobacteriati; Methanobacteriota; Methanomicrobia; Methanomicrobiales; Methanoregulaceae
Description: bacterial SSU rRNA
Rfam family: Archaeal small subunit ribosomal RNA
Source: RNAcentral
CACCACAACGGGUGGAGCCUGCGGUUAAUUGGACUCAACGCCGGGCAGCUCACCGGAUAAGACAGCUGGAUGAUAGCCGGGCUGAAGACUCUGCUUGACUAGCUGAGAGGAGGUGCAUGGCCGUCGUCAGUUCGUACUGUGAAGCAUCCUGUUAAGUCAGGCAACGAGCGAGACCCACGCCAACAGUUGCCAGCAUGUCCUCCGGGAUGAUGGGGACACUGUUGGGACCGCCUCUGCUAAAGAGGAGGAAGGAAUGGGCAACGGUAGGUCAGCAUGCCCCGAAUUAUCCGGGCUACACGCGGGCUACAAUGGUCAGGACAAUGGGUAUCGACACCGAGAGGUGGAGGCAAUCUCCUAAACCUGUCCUUAGUUCGGAUUGUGGGCUGCAACUCGCCCACAUGAAGCUGGAAUCCGUAGUAAUCGCGUUUCAAAAUAGCGCGGUGAAUAUGUCCCUGCUCCUU